AGUCUCUUGCCUGGAAAAAGGGCCAACCACCUCCCAGAGACAUGGGGCUGCUCUGGGAUCUGGACACAGAGUCCUGCCUGUGGCUGUCCCUGCCCCACCCGGAGCAGAUGAUCAGCCAGACUCCCUGGGAAAGGUGCUGGCUUGCCUGGAUCCCAGGUGGAGAGGAAAUAGCAUCCCCCUGGAGCUGCUCAGGCUCCCUGCUGAACGCGAGUUCACGUCCUGAGACCUUUUCCAAAGCAUGAAGAGGAAAAUCUGCCUGGGGCCGUGGGGAAGCACUUGUUACAGAAGCUGGAGCUUAUCGCACUCUCUGAGCUACAGUGUCUGCUCCUGUGGGACAGCUGGCUUUCUUCCUGAGGACACAGUGCCUCUGCACGCCUGGCUCACCAUCAUGUGACCUCUGGGCUAAAAGGUAAAUGACAAAAUCCCAGGGACUGAAGACUGAUAAAGCUUUGUGAUCCAAUCUGUUGGUGAGUACAGCCACGGAGAGAAUUCGAUUUGCAUACAUUUCCUACCCGGAAUUCCUCUGGAGCUACUGGGAGUCACCAUAGCUAACAGAGGCUCUGAGCUGUGGGGUUUAUGUGAAUGCAGAAACAACCCCCAUUUGCUUUCUUGGAAAGAGAUUUACUGGAGCGUUUUUUGUCUUAUUGUCCACCCCCUCCUCCUUUCCCUGUCCGUCGGGGGGGAUUUCGUGCUGCUGUGGAGACUCUUUGAUCUGAGUUAAUUCUUUGACGAAGCUUCACAAGACAAUAGGAAAACAGAGCAUUGCUCUGGGGAGAAUCCUUCCUGCUCAAAGAGAAAAAAGGUGGGAAUCAUGCUGGCUUGGUGAGUUGGUGCAGCCCAAAGGCAAAGAGCCUCCCUUGCUGCCCCUGGGGCUGUACUUGAGUGGUGGACACCAGGGUGCAGAUUCUGCUCUGAGCUGGGGGGGAAUGUGGGAAAGGCUGGAUGCCAGAGCUUUGUUUGGAUCAGCAUGGGGAGAAUCAGGGUGAGCAAUCAUCAAAGAGAGCGUGGGGAGCUGCCUGGUGGAGGGACAUGGGCCCCAUGG
Passer domesticus (house sparrow) is the source of this 1042-nucleotide long non-coding RNA. RefSeq lists it as uncharacterized. Lineage: Eukaryota; Metazoa; Chordata; Aves; Passeriformes; Passeridae. The transcript is spliced from 3 exons. The record is from RefSeq and is a predicted model, not a curated record.